Molecule: non-coding RNA, 222 nt
Filed under: Paenibacillus sp.
Lineage: Bacteria; Bacillati; Bacillota; Bacilli; Caryophanales; Paenibacillaceae
Source: RNAcentral
ACCGCAAGGCCGCUGCCCAGCGUCCCGCGCGGUUGAGCCUUGACUUAAUUGGGGAAGCCGGUUGAAAUCCGGCGCGGACCCGCCACUGUAAGGAAGGGAGCCUGCAUAGAUUGUUUGCAUGGUCUCCGAGCGCGGCAGCAUGAAAACAUUGAACAUUCCGUUCGAUAGAACAUGCCGACUCAACUUCCAAGCCAGGAUACCAGCCUGUAUCUUUACGCCGUU